GCUAGCAUUAAUGAAAACAUGUAUCACAACCGUAGCUCUGAAAACUCAAGAUAUUUAGUGGAAAGAACUCCUAAAGAUACAUCUGAGUGUUUAAAGUAAAAGCAAAACAUGAACAAAAACAUUUUCCAAAGGAAUCAAAUGAGGCUCAGCUAAUUUCAUGUCACUUAACAUCAAUAAGGAAAAAUACAUUGAAAAAUCUAUACAUUAUGUAAGCAAUGAUCUUAUUAGUAUAACAAAGAAUGAAAUAGCUCUUAACUAUUUUCAACUUUGCCUCUAAAAUUCCUUUCAUCUGAUGGCAGAACAUAUUAUUUCCUGUUCUUAUUAUACUCUGUGGGAAGUAGCACACCCAUUUUAAUGUCACUUUUCCCCUGUAUCAACAUUUAUGGGAGGAAUUAUUUUUGUGCUCUCAAGGUUGAUAUCUCAGAUCCAGAAGUCAUGUGGCAAUGGAUCUCAAACUUAAAUAUGAGAAUACCUGGAGAACUUGUUACUAUCCUGAGAGCUCUCCUACAUACAGUGAUUCAGGUCUGGUGAGGGAUUCAGAAAUCUGCAUUUCUAACAAGCAUCCCAAAUGAUUCUAAGACAGGUCUUCCAUAGAUCUUGCCCUGAUUUAAGCAACCAGAGUAAUUUUCGUGUCUACUUUCCAACUGCAGAGGAUAAGUUUUAAACUCUUAUUUUCUAUAUGCCCAUAAGAGGUGGAAAGAUUACAGGAAAAUACAUGAGUAUAAAUAACACAUCUUUCAUGACCUUUACAGGGAACUCAAAUAACUGUAAUUUUUGAUUUACAAUAAGUUUUGAAAUGAGGCACUUCAAGAUUCUGAGUUGCUUCAUGAGUCAUCAGUGAUUAAUCUUUCCAUAGUUUUAACCCUGUGAAUUUUUUUUUUUGAAAACUGGUUAUUUUUGAAUCAGGUUCUAGCUCCUAGGUGAGUGGAAUAUUAAAAUUUUCAAGGCAUAUCUUUAAAAAUUACUCCAGGUAAAUAGUAAUUUUCUUACCAAUUUCUCGAAUAUUAGAAUAUGAUAUACUUUAUGAUGUACAGUUCACCCGUGAAUCACACAGGUUUUGGGUGGUGAUCCUCUGUGCAGUCAAAAAUACAAGUAUAACUUAUAAUCAACCCUACCUAUAUUUGAUUCCUCAGUAUCUGUGGUUUUGCAUUGGCCAAUUUAACCUGUCAUGAAUCAGGUAGUACUGUAGUUCUUACUAUUGAAAAAAAUCUGAGCAUAAGUGGACCCAUGCAGUUCAAAUCCAUAUGAAAGUUCAACUGAACUUUAUUUUUUUCUACAUACAAUGAAAAUAGCAUACUUCUACAAACAUGUAAAUUUCAUAGGGUAAUAUUUAUUCCACUUAUCUUCAUAUAUAAGGUUCUGUUUUAUAACCCAGUAAUAUAUUUAUUUAUUUAUUUAUUUCUGGGUGUGCCGGGUCUUCGUUACUGCUCACAGAACUUCUCUAGUUGCAGUGCACAGGCUCCUCACUGUGGUGGCUUUUCUUGGAUCAGGGCACAGGCACUGGGGGCACGAACUUCAGUAAUUGCAGCACGUGGUCUCAGUUGUGGCCCAGACUUAGUUGCUCCAGAGCAUGUGGAGUUCCCCUGGACCAGGGAUAAAACCUGUGAUCCCUGCAUUGGCAGGUAGAUUCCUAUCCACUGGGCCACCAGGGAAGUCCCUAAAUAGUGUUUUAAGUAUAUUCAGCUGCCUUUGGG
Molecule: long non-coding RNA, 1694 nt
Organism: Bos taurus (domestic cattle)
Lineage: Eukaryota; Metazoa; Chordata; Mammalia; Artiodactyla; Bovidae
Source: Ensembl